RNAcentral lists this long non-coding RNA (549 nucleotides) under Phasianus colchicus (ring-necked pheasant). RNAcentral's name for it is "lncRNA (ENSPCLG00000016371.1)". The record is from RNAcentral. Lineage: Eukaryota; Metazoa; Chordata; Aves; Galliformes; Phasianidae.
UUGAACUGUGACCUGGGCUCCCUUUCUGAACUGAUGUGUUCUGCUACCAUGGCUACUGCUGACGUUAGCUGCCAGAGGUCUUGGAACAGUUGGAACACUCGAAAUUUUGGUGGGAUCAGAAAUAGUUCAGGAGUGUGGAGAAUGAGAUGUUGUUGGGAAGUGUACAUCAGAGGGACUCUAUGUGUGCCACCCAGCUGUGCUGGAUGCCUCUGUGAUUUCCAUGAUCAUUGCCUCUCUGGUGGAGGUGUUCAGGUGAAGAGCCUCCUUGAGUCAAUGCAGGAAAAAUGCAGUGUACAUUUACUUGCCACAACUAUGGAAAUGAAGUUUUAUCUGCAUCCACCUGAAGAUGCAUUUUUGAGGAAUGGAUGGAUGCCAAGAGUGAAUGUGGCAGAGCCGCUGCCAGUAGAACUGCACUUCGGGGCAGGAGCAUGGUUUCUUUGGUGCAUUCAACUGCGAAGGUCUCCAAAGAAAGUAGCAUAUCUUGUUUGUAUGUUACUAACUGUAUGGUUGCAUCAUGAGGAGUGGCUGAGUCCCUGGGGGUUUGCUUAG